GCCAGGCAUGGUGGCGCGCACCUGUAAUCCGAGCUACUCAGGAGGCUGAGGCAGGAGAAUCUCUUGAACCUGGGAGGUGGGGGUUGCAGUGAGCCGAGAUCUCGCUAUUGCACUCCAGCCUGGGUGACAGAGCGAGACUCUGUCUAAAAAAAAGAGAUCGUGUCUAGCUAUAUUGCCUAGGCUAGAGUGCAGUGAUAUGACCAUAGCUUACACAAGCCUUAAACUCCCAGGUUCCAGUGAUCCUCCUGCCUCA
Molecule: small RNA, 253 nt
Filed under: Nomascus leucogenys (northern white-cheeked gibbon)
Lineage: Eukaryota; Metazoa; Chordata; Mammalia; Primates; Hylobatidae
Description: Metazoan signal recognition particle RNA (ENSNLEG00000029025.1)
Source: RNAcentral